Molecule: non-coding RNA, 72 nt
Filed under: unclassified sequences
Description: Transposase-2 RNA
Rfam family: Transposase-2 RNA
Source: Rfam by way of RNAcentral
GAAGUGCGAACCAAGCGUGCGCCGCCCUAGCGCUGUGAGUCUUGGAGCGGAUAGCCGUAAGGCUGUCCUGCA